CCUGUAAACUUUCGAUGUUACUUUCUGCGCCUACCAUGAUGAUCAUGGGUAAUGGGGAAUCAGGGUUCGAUUCCA
RNAcentral lists this ribosomal RNA (75 nucleotides) under Pelobates cultripes (western spadefoot toad). Its description in RNAcentral is "SSU_rRNA_eukarya". The record is from RNAcentral. Lineage: Eukaryota; Metazoa; Chordata; Amphibia; Anura; Pelobatidae.